This 377-nucleotide ribosomal RNA is filed under the name uncultured eukaryote. RNAcentral describes it as "partial 18S ribosomal RNA". It matches the Rfam family "Eukaryotic small subunit ribosomal RNA", at positions 592 to 976 of the family's 1831-position model. The record is from RNAcentral.
CAAUAGCGUAUAUUAAAGUUGUUGCAGUUAAAAAGCUCGCAGUUGGAUUUCGGGGCAGCCUGGCUGGUCCGCCGCAAGGCGAGUACUGGUCAGCCGCCCUUCCUCUCGAAAGCCCCGACUGCUCUUUAUUGCAGUGGUCGGGUAGUUCGGGACGUUUACUUUGAAAAAAUUAGAGUGUUCAAGGCAGGCCUACGCCUGAAUACAUUAGCAUGGAAUAAUGGAAGAGGACCUCGGUCCUAUUUUGUUGGUUUCCAGGACCGAAGUAAUGAUUAAGAGGGACAGUUGGGGGCAUUCGUAUUUAAUUGUCAGAGGUGAAAUUCUCGGAUUUAUGAAAGACGAACAACUGCGAAAGCAUUUGCCAAGGAUGUUUUCAUUAA